This 379-nucleotide unclassified non-coding RNA is filed under the name uncultured Ceratobasidiaceae. Its description in RNAcentral is "sequence contains ITS1". The stretch from base 1 to 105 matches the Rfam family "5.8S ribosomal RNA", at positions 50 to 154 of the family's 154-position model. The record is from RNAcentral. Lineage: Eukaryota; Fungi; Basidiomycota; Agaricomycetes; Cantharellales; Ceratobasidiaceae.
GAAAUGCGAUAAGUAAUGUGAAUUGCAGAAUUCAGUGAAUCAUCGAAUCUUUGAACGCACCUUGCGCUCCUUGGUAUUCCUUGGAGCAUGCCUGUUUGAGUAUCAUGAAAUCUUCAAAGUCAAAUCUUUUGUUUAUUCAAUUGGUUUGACUUUGGUAUUGGAGGUCUUGCAGGUUCACACUUGCUCCUCUUUGUGCAUUAGCUGGAUCUCUCAGUGUUAUGCUUGGUUCCACUUGGCGUGAUAAAUUAUCUAUCGCUAAGGACACUGUAAAAAGGUGGCCAAGGUAAAUACCAGAUGAACCGCUUCUAAUAGUCCAUUGACUUGGACAAUAUUUUUAUGAUCUGAUCUCAAAUCAGGUAGGACUACCCGCUGAACUUAA